RNAcentral lists this ribosomal RNA (375 nucleotides) under uncultured organism. Its description in RNAcentral is "partial 16S ribosomal RNA". It matches the Rfam family "Bacterial small subunit ribosomal RNA", at positions 527 to 896 of the family's 1533-position model. The record is from RNAcentral.
GUAGGUGGCAAGCGUUGUCCGGAAUUAUUGGGCGUAAAGCGCGCGCAGGUGGUUCGUUUAAGUCUGAUGUGAAAGCCCCCGGGCUCAACCGGGGAGGGUCAUUGGAAACUGGGGAACUUGAGUGCAGGAGAGGAAAGUGGAAUUCCACGUGUAGCGGUGAAAUGCGUAGAUAUGUGGAGGAACACCAGUGGCGAAGGCGACUUUCUGGCCUGUAACUGACACUGAGGCGCGAAAGCGUGGGGAGCAAACAGGAUUAGACACCCUGGUAGUCCACGCCGUAAACGAUGAGUGCUAAGUGUUGGGGGGGUUUCCGCCCCUCAGUGCUGCAGCUAACGCAUUAAGCACUCCGCCUGGGGAGUACGGUCGCAAAGACUG